This 465-nucleotide ribosomal RNA is filed under the name uncultured bacterium. RNAcentral describes it as "partial 16S ribosomal RNA". It matches the Rfam family "Bacterial small subunit ribosomal RNA", at positions 31 to 507 of the family's 1533-position model. The record is from RNAcentral.
GAACGCUGGCGGCGUGCUUAACACAUGCAAGUCGAACGGAAAGGCCCUGCUUUUGUGGGGUGCUCGAGUGGCGAACGGGUGAGUAACACGUGAGUAACCUGCCCUUGACUUUGGGAUAACUUCAGGAAACUGGGGCUAAUACCGGAUAGGAGCUCCUGCUGCAUGGUGGGGGUUGGAAAGUUUCGGCGGUUGGGGAUGGACUCGCGGCUUAUCAGCUUGUUGGUGGGGUAGUGGCUUACCAAGGCUUUGACGGGUAGCCGGCCUGAGAGGGUGACCGGCCACAUUGGGACUGAGAUACGGCCCAGACUCCUACGGGAGGCAGCAGUGGGGAAUAUUGCACAAUGGGCGGAAGCCUGAUGCAGCAACGCAGCGUGCGGGAUGACGGCAUUCGGGUUGUAAACCGCUUUCGCCUGUGACGAAGCGUGAGUGACGGUAAUGGGUAAAGAAGCACCGGCUAACUACGUG